This 470-nucleotide ribosomal RNA is filed under the name uncultured bacterium. RNAcentral describes it as "partial 16S ribosomal RNA". It matches the Rfam family "Bacterial small subunit ribosomal RNA", at positions 331 to 793 of the family's 1533-position model. The record is from RNAcentral.
CCAGACUCCUACGGGAGGCAGCAGUGGGGAAUAUUGCGCAAUGGGCGAAAGCCUGACGCAGCGACGCCGCGUGAGGGAUGAAGGUCUUCGGAUCGUAAACCUCUGUCAGCAGGGAAGAACGGUCACUGUGCUAAUCAGCAGUGAAUUGACGGUACCUGCAAAGGAAGCACCGGCUAACUCCGUGCCAGCAGCCGCGGUAAUACGGAGGGUGCGAGCGUUAAUCGGAAUUACUGGGCGUAAAGCGCUCGUAGGCGGUAUGUCAAGUCAAGGGUGAAAUCCCCGCGCUCAACGUGGGAACUGCCUUUGAAACUGGCGCUCUUGAGUGGAAGAGAAGUAUGCGGAAUGCGUGGUGUAGCGGUGAAAUGCAUAGAUAUCACGCAGAACCCCGAUUGCGAAGGCAGCAUGCCGGCUUCCGACUGACGCUGAAGCACGAAAGCGUGGAGAUCGAACAGGAUUAGAUACCCCAGUAG